GUUGUACCUCUAAAUGACAGAGCAUCUCUUAAUAUAAUGCAGAGUGGAACAAAUACAGGAAGAAGAGAUAUUGACUUAUGGAUUGCAUACCUGCUACCAGUUUGUUAGAUGCGGUGAAACCCAUCCAAGGCAUCCUGAUCACAUAACAAACACAGAGCACUGGAAGAAUGAGAAGCAUAUCCCUGUGAAAAAGGAACGGCGAUCGGAAGAUCUCGCGAUGGCACGGAAAGAGGAAGGAAGAGGAAGGAUAUGACGUAGAGAUAGCAGUAUGCUUGUAGGUAUAUAAGCAAAUACAUGCGUACAAUAAACGCCAUUUGCAGCA
Molecule: long non-coding RNA, 322 nt
Organism: Dromaius novaehollandiae (emu)
Lineage: Eukaryota; Metazoa; Chordata; Aves; Casuariiformes; Dromaiidae
Exons: 3
Source: RefSeq, a predicted model, not a curated record